Molecule: transfer RNA, 104 nt
Filed under: Phaeosphaeriaceae sp. SRC1lsM3a
Lineage: Eukaryota; Fungi; Ascomycota; Dothideomycetes; Pleosporales; Phaeosphaeriaceae
Description: Stagonospora sp. SRC1lsM3a tRNA
Rfam family: tRNA
About the family: Transfer RNA (tRNA) molecules are approximately 80 nucleotides in length.
Source: Rfam by way of RNAcentral
GCCUGGUUAGCUCAAUCGGUAGAGCGUGAGACUCUUAGAGUUCACUUUCUCAGAAAGCGAUUGAUCCAAUCUCAAGGUUGCGGGUUCGACCCCCGCAUCGGGCU